AAGAAGCACUAAAAGAAGGCAAGAGCAUGCCUCACUCACUGAGCACAAUGCCCUACCUACCAUCUCGAUUCUCAACGAAUUGGAUGCUCACCACAUAUUUAGUAUAUGGGUGUAUGCUCGCGAAACCUACUUCACUCCCACCCACCUCUGAUUGCAUUAGCCUGCUGAUUGAUCCCGGCAAGGAAUGUGGUUCGGUUCAAUAUUCUUUCUUUGGAUUUACUUUUUAUGAAAGCGAUGCAUGUCCGAUUUCAUCUAAUUUUCAUUCUCCCUUCCUUUUUUGUACUUAUUAUUCCAAGCCAAAAGGCUAUGUUCUGUCCCGCUCGCAAGGCUCAUAACCUAACUGCUCUACUUACUUAAAAAAGAGCACUUCAACAACCCUUGCCCGAAGA
This 389-nucleotide long non-coding RNA is filed under the name Oryza brachyantha (malo sina). RNAcentral's name for it is "long non-coding RNA (OBRA_LNC003539)". The record is from RNAcentral. Lineage: Eukaryota; Viridiplantae; Streptophyta; Magnoliopsida; Poales; Poaceae.